Long non-coding RNA from Homo sapiens (human), 1941 nucleotides. Lineage: Eukaryota; Metazoa; Chordata; Mammalia; Primates; Hominidae. The record is from Ensembl.
AGGUGACAAGCUGCACACAGGGCCAUACAGGCAUCCAGGGCAGCCCCUGCACCCAGCUACCUUUCUGCUGGAAGGCCGUUUUCACAAGGCAGCCGGAAGCACUCCCGGGUAAUCUCGUCUGGAGAUGACUGCAUUUCAUUAUAAUUUAAGCCUUUCUUGGGCUUCAUCAAAGGCUAUGAGUGUCUUGAAAAAGAGAAGCAUCUCUUUCCUCAGAAAAAUGGCUGAACUUGUUAAGCCAGAGAUCAAACACCCCAGCGGGCUGAGUGCGGACAAGGGAACACGGCUUUAACAUCUGCUGCUCUCUUUCUGUGCGACACAGAGGGCUCCCCACAGAGAGGAAGGGCAGGGAGGUGGAGGCGGGGUGUGGUUCUGCGGGUGUCCCAGGCUGAGUGCUGUACCAUGUGGCUCACUGAGUCACAUCCUCACACAAACCUUCGGAGAGAAGUCCGUUAUUCUUCUCAUUUUACCCAUCGGGAAGCUGAAAUUCCAGAAACAGUAAGUCACUUGUCCAAGAACACCCGGACCGGAAGGGCACGUUUCCAUGUCUGCAUCUCAAAAUGAGCAGAUAAUGUCAGAAAUGAAUUAGAGGACACCCAUCUAUUUUCCCCUGGAGAACUGGUCGUUAGUGAGGAGAAACCCACACACAUUUUGGUGAGCAGAAGUGAAGUGCUCUGUAGUGAGUGGUGUGUGAGUAGGAAAAGCAAUGUGGGUUUUCCUAUCUGUUAUGAUAACAAUCAUAGGCAUCGAUAGAGUCCUGCAUGGUAUGAUGAGAUGCAGGGACAAUAAGAGCUCUGCAUGGUAUGCUGAGAUGCACGGUACGCUGAGAUGCAUGGUACGAUGAGAGCCCUACAUGGUAUGCUGAGAUGCAUGGUAUGAUGAGAUGCAAGGACGAUGAGAGCUCUGUAUGGUACGCUGAGAUGCACGGUACGCUGAGAUGCACGGUACGCUGAGAUGCAUGGUACGAUGAGAGCCCUACAUGGUAUGCUGAGAUGCACGGUAUGAUGAGCUGCAAGGACGAUGAGAGCUCUGUAUGGUAUGCUGAGAUGAACGGUACGCUGAAAUGUAUGGUACGCUGAGAUGCAUGGUACGAUGAGAGCCCUGCAUGGUAUGCUGAGAUGCAUGGUAUGCUGAGAUGCAUGGUACGAUGAGAGCCAUGCAUGAUAUGCUGAGAUGCAUGGUAUGCUGAGAUGCAGGGACGAUGAGAGCUCUGCAUGGUGCGCUGAGAUGCACGGUACGCUGAGAUGCAUGGUAUGAUGAGAUGCAUGGUAUGAAGAGAUGCAGGGACAAUGAGAGCCCUGUACGGUACAAUGAGAUGCAGGGAUGCAGGGCAUUAACAAAAUGCAAAUGCAAAUGCAAAUGCAAAUUCCUGCGUGUGACGUGCACAAUGAAACCAGGAGUGUGGAAGGAAACCACCAGGGCAGCCCAAGGAUGGCAAGUGACAUUGGACCCUUGGUGCCUGGGAAGCAAUAGGAACUGGGAUGAACCAGAAGACCUGCCUUGUCUCCAGCUGGAGCCCCCACUUGGAAGGAGCCUGCUACUGCUAUGUAGGAACUGCAGGCCCAGAUCAUCUAAUACUUCAAAAGAAGCUAAUGAUCUUGACUUGUAACAUGACAUUCCUGAUUACUGGUUCAACGUGUUGUAACACCACCAGUGAGCUUAACAAAAAUCUGAGGUUUCUGGCUCAUGGGCUUCCUGUUUAUAAGACCUGUAUUGAAAAUGGUUUUCAACCUUUCCUCUUGUGGACCCUUUGAAAAUGCAAUGAAUACAAGUCAAAAGAAAAGGCCCGGUGUGAGAAGAUAUUUGCAAUUCAUAUAACUGCCAAGGAUUGAUUUCUAGAAUAUAUUAAAAUGAAACCCAGCAAAAAACACUUUAUGAAUCAAUAAAUUAAAAACAAUACAACCCAAUAGAAAAAUGGGUAAUAGACUUGAACUGUACUUUAUA